RNAcentral lists this transfer RNA (94 nucleotides) under Sphaerobolus stellatus SS14. It matches the Rfam family "tRNA". From Rfam's summary of the family: Transfer RNA (tRNA) molecules are approximately 80 nucleotides in length. Their secondary structure includes four short double-helical elements and three loops (D, anti-codon, and T loops). Lineage: Eukaryota; Fungi; Basidiomycota; Agaricomycetes; Geastrales; Sphaerobolaceae. The record is from Rfam by way of RNAcentral.
GCUCUGGUGGUGUAGUAGUAACACAACCUGAGUUCAGAGGUCUGCCUCAACAAGCCCAGUCUGUGAGAUGUGGGUUCGAAUCCCUCCUAGGGUU